UGGGGCAAAUAAGGGGUACCACUCAAAACAUUUGAAUCAAACCUGCAUGACUAAAAGAGGGUGGUGAAAAAAGCCAAGAAGAUUAGAAAUGUCUUUUGAGGGAAAUUGUAGAAAUUCUUAUAUCUAAAGGGAGGAGAGCCCCGCUCAGAGGCCUCCCAUGGCUCACGCAUGACUUGAUGGUCAUUCAGCUAGAUGUCCAGUGGAUGUCUGGAUGGGGGUGCAGAACUGCCCUCCCUCCUUGCUCAAGGCUGCCCCAGCCCCCAUCACCCACAGACUGAUUGCAUCACACUCUCUGUAACCUGUAUUCUCUCUCCAGGUAGCCCAGCAGUGGGGGCACUUAGAGAAGGGCAGGAUGCCUUUGCUUAUGCUAGGCAGGCCAAGGGAGCUCCAGGUGGCAGUGGGAUGAAGUAGGAAGGGCCAUGAAGAAACUUCCGGGAGAGGCAAAUGUUCUAUAUCGUGGAGGGGUCUGGGCUUAUCAGCGUUUGCAUUCAUCAGCACUCAUAGGAUGGUAACACUUAAGAUUGUGCAAUUCACUAUAUAUAAAUCUCAUCUCAAGAAAAGAAACUAAGCAAAUGUUGAGCUCUAAUGAAUGACACAGAUGGACACAUGCAAGCAGAAGUGUUGCAAGGUAAAGUAUACUGAUGUUAAUGACUUUGAAAUGCAUCAAAAAGAAUAUGAGCGAACGGAGAGAUGGGAAGAUAAUCAGGGUCACAGGAAGAGCGUCUGUUGUGGGAAUUAUUAUAUGAUCAUCUCACUUUUUAAGGAAAAACUGAGGCUCCAUGAGGGGAAGCGAAGAGACAGUUUUCACACAACUACUCAGGGCCACUCACUAGGUCUAGAGCCUUUCCCAUCACUCCAGGCCUUCUGGAAUAAAGAGGGGAGCCAGCCCUCCACCUUCUGCUUAUGGGAUGACUCCAGACAUGUGCCAGAUCCCGCGUCCCUGGCUUUUUUAGGAAGGUGAGUGCUCCCUAGCUGAGUUUUGUGGGACUCUUUUCCUCACAGGCAGAUGAUUCGGUCUUAGUUACUAGUUAAUUGGAGGCAAAGAGCUUUGACUUCCCUUUCACAUCCUGGCAUUGUGUGGCUCCCAGCCAUGGGAUUAGGUAAGUCUCUCUGAAUCCCAGAUUGGAAACAUUCCCAUGAUAAAGGGCUUCUGAAGGUGAUGGAAUCAGACCGUGGGAGAAUCACACUUCCAAAAAUAGACAAACUGGACUUCAUCAGAGUUAAAAUCCUGUGUGCAGGGAGGGGAGAGAAUUGGAGAAGCCUCAUUUCCUAUUUUACUACUAAAGAAGCACAUGGGUGUGUCAUCAGUGUAGCUGGUACUCAAACGGGCCCCAC
RNAcentral lists this long non-coding RNA (1335 nucleotides) under Homo sapiens (human). RNAcentral's name for it is "HSALNT0098195". The record is from RNAcentral. Lineage: Eukaryota; Metazoa; Chordata; Mammalia; Primates; Hominidae.